AUCUACGCCCAUACCACCCUGAACGUGCCCGAUCUCGUCUGAUCUUGGAAGCUAAGCAGGGUUGGGCCCGGUUAGUACUUGGAUGGGAGAGAGCAGCCAGUGGGAGCUU
This 109-nucleotide ribosomal RNA is filed under the name Prolemur simus (greater bamboo lemur). The record is from RNAcentral. Lineage: Eukaryota; Metazoa; Chordata; Mammalia; Primates; Lemuridae.